AUACGUAGGGGGCGAGCGUUGUCCGGAAUGAUUGGGCGUAAAGGGCGCGUAGGCGGCCCGGUAAGUCUGGAGUGAAAGUCCUGUUUUUAAGAUGGGAAUUGCUUUGGAUACUGUCGGGCUUGAGUGCAGGAGAGGUAAGUGGAAUUCCCAGUGUAGCGGUGAACUGCGUAGAGAUUGGGAGGAACACCAGUGGCGAAGGCGACUUACUGGACUGUAACUGACGCUGAGGCGCGAAAGUGUGGGGAGCAAACAGGAUUAGAUACCCUGGUAGUCCACACUGUAAACGAUGAAUGCUAGGUGUAGGGGGUAUCGACCCCUUCUGUGCCGCAGUCAACACAAUAAGCAUUCCGCCUGGGGAGUACGGCCGCAAGGUUGAAACUCAAAUGAAUUGACGGG
Molecule: ribosomal RNA, 396 nt
Filed under: uncultured bacterium
Lineage: Bacteria
Description: partial 16S ribosomal RNA
Rfam family: Bacterial small subunit ribosomal RNA
Source: RNAcentral